This 102-nucleotide ribosomal RNA is filed under the name Listeria monocytogenes. Lineage: Bacteria; Bacillati; Bacillota; Bacilli; Caryophanales; Listeriaceae. The record is from RNAcentral.
UCUGGUAGUUAUGGCGAGAAGGUCACACCCGUUCCCAUCCCGAACACGGUAGUUAAGCUUCUCUGCGCCUGUCUCAUAUACACAUCACCGAGCCCACGAGAC